GAUGAACGCUGGCGGCGUGCUUAACACAUGCAAGUCGAACGGACGGGCUCCUGCUUGCCGGGUUUCUCGAGUGCCGAACGGGGGAGUAACGCGUGGGUGAACUGCCCUGCACUUCGGGAUAAGCCUGGGAAACUGGGUCUAAUACCGGAUAGGACGAUGGUUUGCAUGCCGUUGUGGAAAGUUUUUCCGGUGUGGGGUGAGUUCGCGGCGUAUCCGCUUGUCAGUGGGGUAAUGGCCUACCAAGGCCUUGCCUGGUAGCCGGCCCUAGGGGGGGUACGGGCACAUUGGGACUGAGGGACGGCCCAGACUCCUACGGGAGGCAGCAGUGGGGAGUAUUGCACAAUGGGCGCAAGCCUGAUGCAGCGACGCUGCGUGGGGGAUGACGGCCUUCGGGUGGUAAACUUCUGUCGCUAGAGACGAAGCGCAAGUGACGGUACCUGGAGAAGAAGCACCGGCUAACUACGUG
This 466-nucleotide ribosomal RNA is filed under the name uncultured bacterium. Its description in RNAcentral is "partial 16S ribosomal RNA". It matches the Rfam family "Bacterial small subunit ribosomal RNA", at positions 28 to 507 of the family's 1533-position model. The record is from RNAcentral.